This 202-nucleotide long non-coding RNA is filed under the name Gallus gallus (chicken). The record is from RNAcentral. Lineage: Eukaryota; Metazoa; Chordata; Aves; Galliformes; Phasianidae.
CCCAUUUCACUCCUCCUCCUCAUUGCUAUUGCCAACCCUUGGCAGCAGCACCAAAUUCCUCCCCACAGCAGUCCUCGUCCCACAGAGGCAACAAGGGUAGGCACAAGUACAGCAUGCUGGGAGGCUCAGAGCGCAACAAUCGCUGCAAGGCAUCCUUCUCAUUCUGCAGCAGCCUUCUGGAGAAGAGACGCAGACAUCCCCA